GACGAACGCUGGCGGCGUGCUUAACACAUGCAAGUCGAACGGAAAGGCCCUGCUUUUGUGGGGUGCUCGAGUGGCGAACGGGUGAGUAACACGUGAGUAACCUGCCCUUGACUUUGGGAUAACUUCAGGAAACUGGGGCUAAUACCGGAUAGGAGCUCCUGCUGCAUGGUGGGGGUUGGAAAGUUUCGGCGGUUGGGGAUGGACUCGCGGCUUAUCAGCUUGUUGGUGGGGUAGUGGCUUACCAAGGCUUUGACGGGUAGCCGGCCUGAGAGGGUGACCGGCCACAUUGGGGCUGAGAUACGGCCCAGACUCCUACGGGAGGCAGCAGUGGGGAAUAUUGCACAAUGGGCGGAAGCCUGAUGCAGCAACGCCGCGUGCGGGAUGACGGCCUUCGGGUUGUAAACCGCUUUCGCCUGUGACGAAGCGUGAGUGACGGUAAUGGGUAAAGAAGCACCGGCCAACUACGUG
Molecule: ribosomal RNA, 468 nt
Filed under: uncultured bacterium
Lineage: Bacteria
Description: partial 16S ribosomal RNA
Rfam family: Bacterial small subunit ribosomal RNA
Source: RNAcentral